RNAcentral lists this ribosomal RNA (543 nucleotides) under uncultured bacterium. RNAcentral describes it as "bacterial SSU rRNA". It matches the Rfam family "Bacterial small subunit ribosomal RNA", at positions 271 to 832 of the family's 1533-position model. The record is from RNAcentral.
AGGCGACGAUCAGUAGCCGACCUGAGAGGGUGAUCGGCCACAUUGGAACUGAGACACGGUCCAAACUCCUACGGGAGGCAGCAGUGGGGAAUAUUGCACAAUGGGCGAAAGCCUAAUGCAGCAACGCCGCGUGAGCGAUGAAGUCCUUCGGGUCGAAAAGCUCUGUCCUCAAGGAAGAUAAUGACGGUACUUGAGGAGGAAGCCCCGGCUAACUACGUGCCAGCAGCCGCGGUAAUACGUAGGGGGCUAGCGUUAUCCGGAUUUACUGGGCGUAAAGGGAGCGUAGGCGGUCUUUUAAGUCAGGAGUGAAAGGCUACGGCUCAACCGUAGUAAGCUCUUGAAACUGGAGGACUUGAGUGCAGGAGAGGAGAGUGGAAUUCCUAGUGUAGCGGUGAAAUGCGUAGAUAUUAGGAGGAACACCAGUAGCGAAGGCGGCUCUCUGGACUGUAACUGACGCUGAGGCACGAAAGCGUGGGGAGCAAACAGGAUUAGAUACCCUGGUAGUCCACGCCGUAAACGAUGAGUACUAGCUGUCGGAGGUUA